RNAcentral lists this ribosomal RNA (460 nucleotides) under uncultured bacterium. RNAcentral's name for it is "partial 16S ribosomal RNA". It matches the Rfam family "Bacterial small subunit ribosomal RNA", at positions 338 to 795 of the family's 1533-position model. The record is from RNAcentral.
CCUACGGGUGGCAGCAGUGAGGAAUAUUGGUCAAUGGACGAGAGUCUGAACCAGCCAAGUAGCGUGAAGGAUGACUGCCCUAUGGGUUGUAAACUUCUUUUAUAUGGGAAUAAAAUGUUCCACGUGUGGGAUUUUGUAUGUACCAUAUGAAUAAGGAUCGGCUAACUCCGUGCCAGCAGCCGCGGUAAUACGGAGGAUCCGAGCGUUAUCCGGAUUUAUUGGGUUUAAAGUGAGCGUAGGUGGAUUGUUAAGUCAGUUGUGAAAGUUUGCGGCUCAACCGUAAAAUUGCAGUUGAAACUGGCAGUCUUGAGUACAGUAGAGGUGGGCGGAAUUCGUGGUGUAGCGGUGAAAUGCUUAGAUAUCACGAAGAACUCCGAUUGCGAAGGCAGUUCACUGGACUGCAACUGACACUGAGGCUCGAAAGUGUGGGUAUCAAACAGGAUUAGAUACCCGUGUAGUC